Molecule: ribosomal RNA, 492 nt
Filed under: uncultured marine eukaryote
Lineage: Eukaryota
Description: SSU rRNA
Rfam family: Eukaryotic small subunit ribosomal RNA
Source: RNAcentral
GUUAAAAAGCUCGUAGUCGGAUUUCAGUAUUAGGCCCACCUACAUUGUUGUAGCGUGGUUCUUUACUUCUUUAACAGAAUCUUUCAUCGCAUUAAUUUACGGUGUUUGGGGCCUGUUUCUUUUACUUUGAGAAAAUUAGAGUGUUCAAAGCGGGUUUUCGCCUGGAUAUUACUCUUGGAAUAAUAAUAUAGGACUUUGGUUCUUUUUUGUAGGUGACUUAGAACCGAAGUAAUGAUUGAUAGGGACAGUUGGGGUCAUUCGUACUGCAAAGCGAGAGGUGAAAUUCAUGGACCUUUGUAUGACGAACUACUGCGAAAGCAUUUGACUAGGAUGUUCCCGUUGAUCAAGAACGAAAGUUGGGGGAUCGAAGACGAUCAGAUACCGUCGUAGUCUCAACCAUAAACUAUGCCAGCUAGGGAUUGGAAGAAGAUCACAUACGUCUCUUUCAGCACCUUAUGAGAAAUCAAAGCAUUUGGGUUCCGGGGGGAGUAU